GCCAAAGAGGCUUCUCCCUGGGUACUUUAAAUUGAAGACAACAGAGGGGGCUCAUCAGACAAACAGCAACAACGCAAGGUUCUUCUCUGGCAACUUUACAGCAUUGGAUGCUCCCUUCCCCCAUCCGACAGCGGCACCUGCUUCCAGACACCUUUGCCCACAGCUGCAGGGAGAGAUAUGGAGCUGGGAUGACCUUCUGAAGUUGUUCUGAGUGGAGAAGAGUGGCCUGGGUCUUUACAUCACCAUGUUGGAUGCAAGCUAAGCCUGAAAAGACAGAGUCUUGCGCCUGGACUAGAAGGCAAUGGCACGGCCUCAGCUCACUGUAACCUCCACCUCCUGAGUUCAAGCAAUUCUCCUGCCUCUGCUCCUGAGUAGCUAGGACUACAGGCCAGUGCUACCAAGCCCAGCUAAUUUUUUUUUUUUUUUUGUAUUUAGAAGUGAUUUUUGUUUGUUUGUUUGUUUGUUUUGUAUUUUUAGAAGUGAUACUCCUGCCUCAGCCUCCCAAAUAGCUGGGACUACAGGCCAGUGCUACCAAGCCCAGCUAACUUUUUUUUUUUUUGUAUUUUUAGUAGAGACUGGGUUUCACUAUGUUGGCCAGGCUGAUCUCAAACCCCUGACUUCAUGAUCUGCCAGCCUUGGCCUCCCAAAGUGCUGGGAUUACAGAUGUGAGCCACCGCAUCCGGCCUCAGAUUGUUUUCUUAGCGCCCUGAAUAAACCUGUCAUCCAUAGGUAGUGCUCUAAGCUCCAGCACUAUCCUUUCCCUUUUACACCCAGUGACAUUCCUCAAAGCGCACACAACCCAGCACAGCUGGAGGUAAAUAAUCUGAUAAAAGGAUUCAUAUAUUUGAAUGUUUAUAAAAAUUACUCCAGGACUUUGCAACUUAAAAAUUAGUAUUUGGAGAUGACAUGAUUUCAGAUAAAGUAACACAUUCCUAGUAAAAUGUUAGUGCAGCAGACCACUUGGGGACCAAUUGAAAAGUCUGAGUUCUUGUGACAUAUAUAUAUUUUUUAACAUCCUGCCUUUCAGCUUUGAAAAGUAAUGUCAAAUAUGGCAAGAGGGGAAAGAUCUCUGAUGAGGAUGAGUGAGGGGAAAAAUCUUUAUGACGGUCUAUGAACUUGGAAGUUUGAAAAUUUUUACUUCACUUUGAAUGACUUCUUCACUAAAUAGAUUUGAACUGAAAAAGCAAAAGCAGAAAGGAAAAAAAUUAAUCUCACUUCAGAGGAAGACAUUGAUGAUAGCCUUCCUCUUAAAAUAAUGUGAUUAUUUUCUGUUUGGCCACCACAAAGUACAUUUUAAAAAAUAGUUAAAGAUAGAAUUUUGGCAUGAUUUUAUAAAGCUUGAGCCAGAUUAUCUUAUUUUAUUUGGAUCCCUGGUUUAUCUCAAGGGUUGGAAUUUAGAACCAGCCCAUUUGUGAAACUUUCUAAUUAUCUUCAGAGCCUGAACUAAACCCUAUACAUCUUUACAGAAACCUCUUAUCCCAGAAUCUUGUCAUUUUGUGAAGAAAUGGUUACCUUCAAGAAAAAAUAUGUAGAACAUAAUUAUAGUCAAAUAGUCUACCUAAGAAGAUUCGCAGUGUUAACUCUGAUAUUUGACAUGUUAAUACAUUUCAUUGUCACAAACGCAAUUUACUAUUAAUGAAAUAAGUCAUGAGAUACUAUACAAUAUAU
This is a non-coding RNA of Callithrix jacchus (white-tufted-ear marmoset), 1668 nucleotides long. The record is from RefSeq and is a predicted model, not a curated record. NCBI's taxonomy places the organism in Eukaryota, Metazoa, Chordata, Mammalia, Primates, Cebidae.